UACGAAGGGGACUAGCGUUGUUCGGAAUCACUGGGCGUAAAGCGCACGUAGGCGGAUUCGUAAGUCAGGGGUGAAAUCCCGGGGCUCAACCUCGGAACUGCCUUUGAUACUGCGGGUCUUGAGUCCGAUAGAGGUGGGUGGAAUUCCUAGUGUAGAGGUGAAAUUCGUAGAUAUUAGGAAGAACACCGGUGGCGAAGGCGGCUCACUGGCUCAUAUCUGACGCUCAGGCGCGACAGCGUGGGGAGCAAACAGG
Molecule: ribosomal RNA, 253 nt
Filed under: uncultured bacterium
Lineage: Bacteria
Description: partial 16S ribosomal RNA
Rfam family: Bacterial small subunit ribosomal RNA
Source: RNAcentral